UCUGCCCUGAAGAAGAGAAUAAUCCCGGGAAACUGGGGGUAAUGCUCUAUAGUCCGGGAGGACUGGAAUGUUCUCCGGAUGAAAGAUCCGUCGCUUCAGGAUGAGUCUGCGGCCGAUUAGGUAGUUGUUGGGGUAAAAGCCCAACAAGCCUGUAAUCGGUACGGGUUGUGGGAGCAAGAGCCCGGAGAUGGAUUCUGAGACACGAAUCCAGGCCUUACGGGGCGCAGCAGGCGCGAAAACUUUACAAUGCGGGCAACCGUGAUAAGGAAACCCCGAGUGCCAGCACAGGCUGGCUGUCCACCAGUGUAAAAAACUGGUGAAGAAAGGGCCGGGCAAGACCGGUGCCAGCCGCCGCGGUAAAUACCGGCGGCUCGAGUGGUGGCCGCUUUUACUGGGCUUAAAGGGUCCGUAGCUUGAUCCAUGGGUCCCUUGAGAAAUCCAUCAGCUUAACUGCUGGGCGUUCAGGGGAAACUGUGGUUCUAGGGACCGGGAGAGGUAAGAGGUACUGCCGGGGUAGGAGUGAAAUCCUGUAAUCCCGGUGGGACCACCUAUAGCGAAGGCAUCUUACCAGAACGGCUCCGACAGUGAGGGACGAAAGCUGGGGGAGCAAACCGGAUUAGAUACCCGGGUAGUCCCAGCUGUAAACGAUGCGCGUUAGGUGUGUCAGUGACCACGUGUCACUGAUGUGCCGAAGGGAAACCGUGAAACGCGCCGCCUGGGGAGUACGGUCGCAAGGCUGAAACUUAA
Molecule: ribosomal RNA, 747 nt
Filed under: uncultured archaeon
Lineage: Archaea
Description: bacterial SSU rRNA
Rfam family: Archaeal small subunit ribosomal RNA
Source: RNAcentral